This 254-nucleotide ribosomal RNA is filed under the name uncultured delta proteobacterium. Its description in RNAcentral is "partial 16S ribosomal RNA". It matches the Rfam family "Bacterial small subunit ribosomal RNA", at positions 1130 to 1382 of the family's 1533-position model. The record is from RNAcentral. Lineage: Bacteria; Deltaproteobacteria.
GCUGAGGACUCUGGCGGAACUGCCGGUGACAAACCGGAGGAAGGUGGGGAAUGACGUCAAGUCAUCAUGGCCCCUAUGUCCAGGGCUACACACGUGCUACAAUGGGCGAUACAGAGUGACGCGAACCCGCGAGGGGGAGCUAAUCCAUAAAAGCCGGCCUCAGUUCGGAUCGGAGUCUGCAACUCGACUCCGUGAAGUUGGAAUCGCCAGUAAUCGCGGAUCAGCAUGCCGCGGUGAAUACGUUCCCGGGCCUU